GGAUGUGAGGUCGAUCUGGCUGCGACAUCUGUCGCCCUAUUGAUCGCCAGGGUUGAUUCGGCUGAUCUGGCUGGCUAGGCGGAUGUCCCCUUCCUCCCUCACUGCUCCAUGUGAGUCCCUCCCAAAGCUGCGUGCUGCUGCGCUCUGUUGAAGAGGCCGGCCUUCCCCGAAUAGAGAGUAUACGAGUAGCUGCGCUCCCCUGCUAGAACCUCCAAACAAGCUCUUAAGAAGGAAUUAGGAGGACUCCCUCACUCACUAGGAGAAUUUGAUGACUCAAAAUAAAACUUACACAGGCAAGGAGGGACAGAGAUUUAUUCUUCCUU
Unclassified non-coding RNA from Erinaceus europaeus (western European hedgehog), 323 nucleotides. Its record names the gene 7SK. It matches the Rfam family "7SK RNA". From Rfam's summary of the family: 7SK was discovered as an abundant small nuclear RNA in the mid-70s but a possible function has only recently been suggested. Two independent studies have found that 7SK RNA binds the CDK9/cyclin T complex (known as elongation factor P-TEFb). The record is from Ensembl. NCBI's taxonomy places the organism in Eukaryota, Metazoa, Chordata, Mammalia, Eulipotyphla, Erinaceidae.